This 306-nucleotide long non-coding RNA is filed under the name Homo sapiens (human). RNAcentral describes it as "non-protein coding lnc-SH3BP4-6:1". Lineage: Eukaryota; Metazoa; Chordata; Mammalia; Primates; Hominidae. The record is from RNAcentral.
UGCAUCUCCAAUUGCUAGACAGCAUGCAAAUGAGAGAGCAGGAAGUUGCCAGACCGGACACCAACCAGUGCUGUCGAAACCAGGCACCCUCACUCCAGCAUGGCCUUGGGCAGGGUCCAGUGCAGCAGGGUGGGCCAGAUCAGGGAGGUUGGCCACGAUCCCCAGCCUCGAAUAUGGGAGAUGAUGGAAGCGCCCAGAGAGGUUGGUAUUUCCUGGAUGGUUCUCAAGGGGGAAGAAUCACUUGAACCUGGGAGGUGGAGAUUGCAGUGAGCCGAGUACUCCACCGUACUCCAGCCUGGGCGACAA